UGAGGAAUAUUGGGCAAUGCCCGCAAGGGUGACCCAGCAACGCCGCGUGGAGGAUGAAUGUCGUAAGAUUGUAAACUCCUGUUAGAGGGGAAGAAUAGUACCGGUUGGACCGGUAUAUGACUGUACCCUCAGAGAAAGCCCCGGCUAACUACGUGCCAGCAGCCGCGGUAAUACGUAGGGGGCAAGCGUUGUCCGGAUUUACUGGGUGUAAAGGGCGCGCAGGCGGGAUAAAAAGUCAGUGAUGAAAUCCUACAGCUUAACUGUAGAACUGCCUUUGAUACUUUUAUUCUUGAGUUCGGGAGAGAGAGACGGAAUUCCAGGUGUAGUGGUGAAAUACGUAGAUAUCUGGAAGAACACCAGUUGCGAAGGCGGUCUCUUGAUCCGACACUGACGCUGAGGCGCGAAAGCGUGGGGAGCAAACA
This 422-nucleotide ribosomal RNA is filed under the name uncultured bacterium. RNAcentral's name for it is "bacterial SSU rRNA". It matches the Rfam family "Bacterial small subunit ribosomal RNA", at positions 355 to 774 of the family's 1533-position model. The record is from RNAcentral.